Molecule: long non-coding RNA, 790 nt
Organism: Aedes albopictus (Asian tiger mosquito)
Lineage: Eukaryota; Metazoa; Arthropoda; Insecta; Diptera; Culicidae
Exons: 2
Source: RefSeq, a predicted model, not a curated record
GGCAGUAUUAGCACCGACGAAGAUACAGACGGAGCAGUAAUCGUUUUUUUCGGUACCACUUUCUUUUUCACCCUUUUGCAAGCCCCUCUUGUUUUCUGUAAUAUGCUUGCGUUGGCUAACCCCUUGAACGGGCGAAAUGAGGGAACUGUCAAGCGACAUGUCAACAACUUGUUUGUUUACAGUUCUGCUGUUUGCUACCUAACCUUAGGAAAACUUCGACCCGUUCUACGGACGAUGAACACUUUAUAUAUAUAUUUAUUUGAUUAAAAUCUGUAGUUUGGGGUCUGUAGUAAGUUUUGGGAAUAUUUUCGGUCCGGAUAACAUUGCGGCAUUCGUGGAAUAGGUGACGGCGCAUACGAAAUGGUUGUGAGCGCAACUGAUGGUAUGCAACUGAGGGUUCUCCGUAAGAACGGUUGGCGGUGAUUUGACCACUUUGACCAGGAGGAAACGCUGUUUUAAAUGUGCUUGAUUAGUACAAGGCUUGUUGUCCUUUCUGAACCAAAUCCUACGGAAAAGUGUCCAUCGUAAAGCCAGCUUCCAGUCUAGUCAGCAUUCGGUCGGCCAACUUCGGAGUAAUAUUUAGUUCGCCAAAAUUGGUUGAACAGGGAGUCGAUGAUGGAACUAGAUCCGCCAAAAUGCUCGAAAGCGAUUUGGAACGUUUCGAUGAGGCGGAAACAAAGCGGUUCUAUAAAAUGUAUACAUUCCCCAAGGGUCGCUCUUCGUGCAGAGGUUCGAAGGAAGUCGAGAAGCAGCUGGCUUUUGGGAAGACUUCCGGCAGCCGGAUUAUGCG